RNAcentral lists this ribosomal RNA (292 nucleotides) under uncultured bacterium. RNAcentral describes it as "partial 16S ribosomal RNA". It matches the Rfam family "Bacterial small subunit ribosomal RNA", at positions 505 to 796 of the family's 1533-position model. The record is from RNAcentral.
GUGCCAGCAGCCGCGGUAAUACGGAGGUUGCAAGCGUUAUCCGGAUUUAUUGGGUUUAAAGGGUGCGUAGGCGGGAUCAUAAGUCAGUGGUGAAAACCUGCAGCUUAACUGUAGAACUGCCAUUGAUACUGUGAUUCUUGAGUAUAGUUGAGGUGGGCGGAAUGUGUAGUGUAGCGGUGAAAUGCUUAGAUAUUACACAGAACACCGAUUGCGUAGGCAGCUCACUAAACUAAAACUGACGCUGAGGCACGAAAGCGUGGGGAGCAAACAGGAUUAGAUACCCGCGUAGUCC